GGCCUAGUAGCUCAGUUGGCUAGAGCGUUGGCUGUNCCCCUCGCUGGCGUGGGUUCAAAUCCCAACGAGGCCG
RNAcentral lists this transfer RNA (73 nucleotides) under Schistocephalus solidus. It matches the Rfam family "tRNA". Rfam says of the family: Transfer RNA (tRNA) molecules are approximately 80 nucleotides in length. The record is from Rfam by way of RNAcentral. Lineage: Eukaryota; Metazoa; Platyhelminthes; Cestoda; Diphyllobothriidea; Diphyllobothriidae.